GAUAUAGUUUUUUUUUUUUUUUAACCAAUGCUUAUACACAACAUUCUGGUCCACACUAGUACCAGAUGGUGGAGGUAAUGCACCAAAAAGUUGUUUGCCAACCGCCAAUAAACCUUAGUCGAAGAAGAAGACGUCAAGAAGAUCGAGGCAGACGGACUGUACGCUGUUAAAACUUCACUAAGAUUGGUGUUGGACCGGCGAACACUUUAGGCCUAUUAUCAUUCAGAGGACUUGUUAACACGAAGAAAAUGGUCCAGAGGUUCCACCUGAGAGCCGGGACUGUCAAACAGUAAGAGACAACGAAAAGGGGGGAACUGUCUUUAAGCUGUGGAGUCAGAUGGAGGGCUCGCAUUUACCUCAAAAACGGCAUUGCAGAAGACUCGAACAACUACAACCAACUCAAGCACACAAUGGUGACACACAUUUGUAAGACCUUUCCCUAUGAUAGAAAAUUUCCCUGUGGUAAUUAUUCAGAUUCUUCUCAUUCUCAUUGUGUAGCACUGUUUUAAGCUUGUUGAAUAUUAUGUACAGUAAGCACUAGAAGUAGAGACUUAUACUACUUGGGGUAGUGUUUUAAAUUAACUUUAAUUUUGCUUUUGAUGCAAAAAUUAUCAAAAGAAAAGAUGUAGUGUAGUAAAAGAUGUUUUGUGUAGUAAUUCAAUUGUUUUAAUAUGAAUAUUGUUUUAAUAGUGUUCAGGACAGUAAUUGUCUGUACAUCUAAAUCAGUUCUUUAAACUUUUUGUUGUCUAAGACCUUCGUAUUAUACCUUAAGAAAAAAAAAGAUAUUUAAUUAUGUAUUAUGUACCCAGACAGCAACAUAGUUCUGGCCCAGAUCCAGCCCACAUCUGGCCCUUGUGAAAUCCAUGCGGGCCAGUUGUGGGCCGGAUCUGGGCCGACACUCCUUGCUGUCUGGGUAAGAUGCUUGUAAUCAUUGCUUUAAAGGUAUUUAUCACUUCUACUUAAAUGGUCAUUAUCUACUUGUAUGAUUUGUAUUAUCUGGGAACUGUACAAAUACUGUGGCAUAUGGACAUUACUCUUUUUAUUUGUAACUUUUAAAUGCAAUACUCUUUUUAAAUGCAUUUUCUGUAAAGCUGCAUUGGAAUAUGUAUUGUGA
Molecule: long non-coding RNA, 1114 nt
Organism: Onychostoma macrolepis
Lineage: Eukaryota; Metazoa; Chordata; Actinopteri; Cypriniformes; Cyprinidae
Exons: 4
Source: RefSeq, a predicted model, not a curated record